CAGCGCCACGGUAAUACGAAGGGUGCAAGCGUUAAUCGGAAUUACUGGGCGUAAAGCGUGCGUAGGCGGUGAGUUAAGUCUGCUGUGAAAUCCCCGGGCUCAACCUGGGAAUGGCAGUGGAUACUGGCUCGCUAGAGUGUGUCAGAGGAUGGUGGAAUUCCCGGUGUAGCGGUGAAAUGCGUAGAGAUCGGGAGGAACAUCAGUGGCGAAGGCGGCCAUCUGGGACAACACUGACGCUGAGGCACGAAAGCGUGGGGAGCAAACAGGAUUAGAUACCCCAGUAGUCCCUGUCUCUUAUACC
Molecule: ribosomal RNA, 301 nt
Filed under: uncultured bacterium
Lineage: Bacteria
Description: partial 16S ribosomal RNA
Rfam family: Bacterial small subunit ribosomal RNA
Source: RNAcentral